RNAcentral lists this long non-coding RNA (290 nucleotides) under Fukomys damarensis (Damara mole-rat). Its description in RNAcentral is "lncRNA (ENSFDAG00000026602.1)". The record is from RNAcentral. Lineage: Eukaryota; Metazoa; Chordata; Mammalia; Rodentia; Bathyergidae.
GCAGUCUCCUUCCCAGCCCAUCAUGUGAACACGUGAGGUUCUGCAGGGAUAUUCAGCCGACAUAAACUAAAAAACAAUGUAGUGGUGAUCUCAAGAAAUUCCAAAAUUAUGUAGUUUUAAUUAAUCCGUUGGAGUAGAUGUUCUACACUACUAACAAAGAGCUUACAGUCAUCUCAUUUUGACCAGCUAAGAAAUACUGCUCAGCCAUCACUAUUCGCCUCUUCACUCCAAAUCGUCGGACUAUGCAUGUGGAUGUAGAAAUAGCCCUAAUAAUAAAAUAUUCAGGUCCC